RNAcentral lists this ribosomal RNA (468 nucleotides) under uncultured bacterium. RNAcentral describes it as "partial 16S ribosomal RNA". It matches the Rfam family "Bacterial small subunit ribosomal RNA", at positions 28 to 507 of the family's 1533-position model. The record is from RNAcentral.
GACGAACGCUGGCGGCGUGCUUAACACAUGCAAGUCGAACGGAAAGGCCCUGCUUUUGUGGGGUGCUCGAGUGGCGAACGGGUGAGUAACACGUGAGUAACCUGCCCUUGACUUUGGGAUAACUUCAGGAAACUGGGGCUAAUACCGGAUAGGAGCUCCUGCUGCAUGGUGGGGGUUGGAAAGUUUCGGCGGUUGGGGAUGGACUCGCGGCUUAUCAGCUUGUUGGUGGGGUAGUGGCUUACCAAGGCUUUGACGGGUAGCCGGCCUGAGCGGGUGACCGGCAACAUGGGGACUGAGAUAGGGCCCAGACUCCUAGGGGAGGCAGAAGUGGGGAAAAUGGAAAAAUGGGGGGAAGCCGGAGGAAGAAACGCCGCGUGGGGGAUGACGGCCUUCGGGUUGUAAACCGCUUUCGCCUGGGACGAAGCGUGAGUGACGGUAAUGGGUAAAGAAGCACCGGCUAACUACGUG